UGCAUUGAAUUUUACAGAAGCUCUAGUGUCAUUCUGAAAUGCUGCUUUUUAUUUCUUCAGCAUGAUUCACUUUCGCAGCAGCUGAAGUCGGAUCAGCUUGAAAAUUUGAAGAUGUUCAAGACUAUGCUGGAGCGCACGAUAAAUUUCUUACAAGUACCCAAAGAAAAUGUCAUGCCGAGUUUUAAAGACAAGCUUGGAUCCUAUGAGAAGCAGAUUAUGAGUUUCCUAACUACACAUAGGCCGGAAAUGCCUAUGCCUCAAAUGCAACAAGGGCAACUUCCCCUUUCUCAAAUGAACCCUCAGUUGCAACCAAUGACCAUGCAAAGGUCAGUAUCAUCGAUGCAGCAGAACAAUAUUUCAAACAUGCAGCAAUCGAUGAUGAACUCUCUCCAGCCAGGUUCUAAUAUCAGUUCAGGACUAGGAAAUGCGAUGACCUCAUCACAGGGGGUUACUAUGGGAUCUAUACAACAGAACUCUCAAAGUGGGUUGACCAUGUUACAGCAAAGUCAGCAUCUUCAGUCGAAUCUGCAACGGCAGCAACAGCAGCAGCAGCGUGCUGGUUAUCUCCCACAGCAGAUGAAAUCCGGAGUGUCCUUUCCUAUUUCUCCUCAAUUGCUUCAAACUUAUUUGUCCCAGCCACCACAGCUUUCUACUCUGAAAGUUGACCAGCAGAACCUACUUCCAUCACUUCCAAAAACUGGUAGUCCUCCUCUUUCAACUCCUUUACUUGCAGAGUUCUCCGUUCCAGAGAAAUCAGCUGUUUCUGGGAAGUCGGCUGUUACAGACCAUUCUGCCGUGUUAGUUCCAAUGGCUGACAUUGCAGCAGAAGAUUUUGAUGCGGAUUCCGUGUUGGAGGAACUGCGUCAUAUUCGACAGAAGCUACUAUUGAUGGAGAAGAGGUUCAGCCUCGUGCUCGGUACCCUACUUGGGAUUGUGUUGGGAUCUGUGUUUGCUAUCCUAUAUGGUAGUUUGUUUUAGUUUUUGUCCUGCACUUGGUGUUUGCUUUAACUUGUAAUAAUCGAAGGUGACUGAUCUGGAUUUCAAUGAAUUGCUCUGUAUCGGUUCAUUUGUUUGUUGUGAACUGUGGCGGCUGGUCAGUCGCAUGUACUUUUCAAGAGUGACGCCAAGACCCGUUAACUAUAGUCCGGCAAGGAAGAGCCAUCCUUGGUGCCAGCGUCUACGCUGCUCUUGAUCGGCAGUCUCUGUCGUCGUUGGUCGCCGCCAUCCUGCUUGUACUCAUUUGUAGAAUAUGUACCGUUCUUAGAGAACGAGUAUGUGUGAAAAGACUAGUACAAAACGUCGUUGGAAAAAGAAUUUCUGAAGAGUAGCUCCGACAAAGGUGGUCCGGUCGGUGGGCAGGGUGUUUUAAAAACUUGCCGGAAAAUUUUAUGUCCUGCAGAAGUCGCCGCAGCUCCAGUCGCCAGAACUCCCCGUCCGGCCACCGAAGUUAAAAAUUGCCACUAAAAAAUAUUAGUUUAGAAAAUGACUUAUUUCCCCUCAAGGGUAGAGUGUUGGAAUUUCACGGAAUUGAGAAUCCACUUGAAAAAAUCAUGGAAAUUAGAUUGUCAUAGGAAAUUGAAUUUAUGUUUCUAUGCUGAAAAUAAAUUUCAGUCGAGAAUGUUAAAUCAAAAGGGAAAAUUUUAACUUUCUUAUUGUAACAAAAAAUAGUCACAUUUUCGUUAAAUUUUCGACCUAUCGAACAUAAUCUUAUUUGAUUUCGUCCUAAAAUUUCGAAAAUUAUCACUCUAAUUAUAUAAUUACAUGGAUAUCCUUCAAUCUUUCUAUUUUUAAAGCUAAACCUUACUCAAACGAUCAUUUCCAAAAUUGCACCGAUGAAUGACCCGAAGCUUGAAGUCGAAGAUCCUAUCUCAGAGGUAAAAGAAAUUAUUUUAUUUUUUGUAAUUAGCGCCGGCGGCUGACGUCCGGCCAAGAAUAAACAACUCAGAAUUAAAACCACCGCGCCAAAAAGGAAAAAUAUUCAAAUCUCCUCCUCCUCAGUCGUCGGAAGCUUCCGUCGCCACUGAUUCAUUUGCUUUUAUAUCGAGUUUGGACGAUCGCCGACUGUGUGAGAAAACGAUACUGUUAUCACUCUUCCGAUCAGCUACAUCCAUUGACAACAUCGCGGCGUCGAAUCAACGGUCUUUCACAAAACCUUUUAUCGCGCACAAUUCUCUGAGCAAGUCGUAAACCGGACGAGCAGAAUUAUGCGCUUCUGAUCGUUUCUCGUAGAUAUGAUUAAGGAUGCACUGUUCUUAUGUCUGAUCCUAAUUCUUUUAUCCAGUCUGAUUAUUUGCAGAAUAUACCAUUGAAGAUGGUCAAAAUGGAAAGCGAAUCGCAGCUGCCAGCAGGCUACGACAGUAAACUCCCUGAUAUGGAUGGGAAUAAUUUGAUGCCUGCUGUUCAAGUGGGAGAAGCUGCUGUGGAAGGGGGUGACUGGAGAGCUACAUUGCAGGCCGGCUCGAGGCAGGGAAUCAGGAACAAAAUGUGAGUUCAGUGUAGCCAUUAUGAACGACGAACAAGUGUAAAGAAUUCUAUACCUGUGUGUGAAAUAUACUGUCGCCAUUUGGUAACAACUAAUUGUUUUCUCAAGGCUUCUUAAUGUUGGAGAAUGAAGAACAGUUGAUUGAUUACCUUCUUCUUUAGUAUCUAUUAAUUUUUCUAAUCACUGGAGAUCCUGAAUUAUAGAUGUGGCUAUGACUUAUGGUACAGAAUGGACAUAUUGAAGAUGCAUCUACCUUUUUCUGGCGAACAGGGGCUGCAAGAACUAGAGACAAUUGCUGAACGAUUUGAGGGAAAGAUUUAUAAUUCUGCCACUAGUCAGGUUUGUGUUAAUAGGCUGGUGAUGCUUGUAAAACGUCUGCUUCUGAUCGUUUCCCCAUAGAUAUGAUUGAGGAUGCACUAUUCUUAUGUCACUCUAAUUCUUUUAUCCAGUCUGAUUAUUUGCGGAGGAUAUCAUUCAAGAUGCUCACAAUGAAGAGCAAAUCACAGCCGGUUAAUUCAGCAGGCAACAGCAGUAAACCCCCUGAUCCAGGAGUUAAUAUGCAGGCUUCUGUGAUGAUGUCACCUUCUACAUCUAGCCAUCUGCGGAAUCCGUUAGCCUCAGUCCAACAGUCAACACAAUCCAUGCUUCAGCAACAAUUGCAACAGCAACAGGUGAUAUUGAUGCAACAGCAGCAGCAUUUUCAACAAUUGAUGUCUCAUCUUCAGUCACGUCCGGGACAACUGCAGCAACAACUUGGUCUGAACCAGCAGAUUAUUUCUCUCCAAAGGGAGAUGCAAAAGAGGCUACAAGCUUUAGGGCAAUCAAUGAACAUGCAAAGCUCAGUAUCAUCGAUGCAUCCGAACAAUAUGUCAAACAUACAUCAUGGUUUAUCCAGCCAAUUGAUGAUGAACUCUCUCCAGGCAGGUUCUAAUACCGAUUCUGGACAAAGAAAUGCUAUGGCCUCAUCACUGGGGACUACUAUGGGAUCUAUACAACAAAACUCUUCAAGCGCUUCCCAGCAGGCAAAUAUUGGUGGUAUGUCCUCGCAAAGUGGGAUGCCCAUGUGGCAGCAAAGCCAGCAUCUUCAGUCCAAUUCCAAUAUGCUUCAACAGCAACAAGUAUUGCAGUCACAGCAGUUCGAACAGCGACAGAUGCAGUUUCUGCAACAUCAGCAUCAACAACAACUUGGUCCGACCCACCAGAAUAUUUCGCUGCAAAGGGAGAUGCAACAGAGGCUACAAGCUUCGGUUCUACCACAGCAGAAACUGUUAUAUCAAUCAAGUAUGUUUCUUCCAACUCUAGUCUUUUCCAGCUAAGAUUCUGGAGUAUCUCUGUCAUGUUCGUUUACACAAUAAAAAUCAACUCUUACAACCAGUUACCCCUUUGAAAGUGUUGGAACGUCUGGUUUAUGGUGUUAUGCUUGUUGAUUGUGUCAUAUAUUGUUGUUCGAAAAACCAUUAUGUAUGUGUCAUUAAAUAUGCUGACAUUUUGAACAGAUUUAUGGUAUAAUUUAAUCUGUCUCGAAAUUUUGCAACUUCAUCACUAAUCCUAAAUGUCCUCGAGUUAUGGACCUGGUAGCAAAAAUCUUCAUUGAUGCUGGUUUUUGUUGUAGCGUCUCUAGAUUCUACUGAGACAAGUGGAGUGGAUUGGCAAGAAGAAUUCUAUCAAAAGGUUGGAAUUCAAGUGCUAACCGUUGAGUACACUCUUAAUUUCAUACUAAUCUUCUGAUUUUUUUUUCCAGAUAAAAGCCAUGAAGGAGAUGUACUUGCCUGAACUAAAUGAAAUGUACCAAAAAAUUGCUACAAAGUUAGAGCAGGUGUGUACUUUCUUAAAUUCGUCAUUACUCACUUGCAUCAUUUGACCUAACCUGUGUCCUGAUUUCACUUGCAUUGCGCAUUAGCUGGUUGAUUUUUCGUGUAUAGUUUCUUCGGUUUAUCGAUCGAUUGAUGGGUUUUUCAUAGUUUCGGGACACUUCUUUAUACUGUCCUACUUCGUUUCAUCGUCCCCUGCAAUUUAAACCAAGGAACCUGGACGACUUUUUCCGUGUGUCCUAACUUUGCACUCUAAAAUGCUUCUUCUUUUUCGUCUCCAGCAUGAUUCACUUCCACAGCAGCCGAAGUCGGAUCAGCUUGAAAAGUUGAAGAUGUUCAAGACUAUGCUGGACCGCAUGAUAAAUUUCUUACAAGUACCUAAAGAAAAUGUCAUUCCGAGUUUUAAAGACAAGCUUGGAUCCUAUGAGAAGCAGAUUGUGAGUUUCCUGUCUGCAAAUAGGCCGAAAAAGCCGAUGCCUCAAAGCCAGCAUCUCCAGUCCAAUGCCAGUAUGCUUCACCAACAGGAUUAUGUGAAGCAAGAGCAUGAUUAAACCAGCAGUAUCAACAUCGACAGACGCAGUUACAUCAGAUUAUUUCUGCUCUCCUAAUUAGGUAGCAUAGUUAGUAAAAUGCGGUAUGAAUACAAUACAGUAUUAAAUUUUUUGGAGUUUUAUACGUCAUUUUAAUAUUUUGCAGGGCUUUUAAAAGUUUGGUAUCAGGUUUAAAAGUUAACUAGUUUUUCAUUACAGUAUGGGUCACACUAGUUUUUGAUAUCUUGAAAGGUUGUUCCUUCAUUUGUUUCGCAAUAAAAAAACACUUUGUCUCGAUUGUGAUGUGUGUUAAUAUGCCAAGCAUGAAGCAUAGUCGUUUCUUUAAUAUCCAUAGUGAUAUAUGGGGGCUAUCUCGGAUUACCUCUCCUCAAUCGAGCUAGGUGGUUCAUUGUGAUGUUCGAUGAACACACUAUGGGGUGAUAUGGAAAUUUUUCAUAAAAGAGAAGUCUGAAACAAUGGGUAUUUGCAGCAAAUUCUACACCAUGAUCGAAAGAUAAUUUCGCCCUAAAAUUUAAGUGCUGAAAAUCGAUAAUGCACGAUACUACUUCAACUCAUCCAUUGACAAUUUUAUGUCUUCUAAUGGCAUCAUUCGCUCCAACCCGUAUGUGGAGACUCUUGAACAAAACAACAUUGCAGAAGAAUCAUCACCUCCUUGACAUGGCACCAUCACUUAUGUUCGGUUUUCGGUUUUUGGGUUCCUAGGUACCUACAAGAAAGGCUUUCCACUGCAGCCCAUCAAGUUGAAUUUGAAUUUUAUUUUAGAUAUAAAAAUUGGGUAGUAGAUGAAAUUAACGAUUUGUCAAAAAAAAAAGAUGAAAAUAAUGAGGUUCGCUAAAGAAGGAAAAAUUUGAUAGAUCUUUCGGUCAAUUGUUGAAGUUAGAUGACCGUGUAAUCAAAUACAAAUACUUAAGUGAUUAUUAUAGCAUUUAAACCCCUUAAUUUAUUUUCAGUCACCACUUUCGUCUAUAAAAUUAAAACCACCGCGUAAUCCCUUUGUAUCUUUCUUCAUCGAAAAAAAAACAAACCACCGCGAUUUCUCCCUCUCAAUUAGCCCUAACUCUCUUCCUCCGUCGUCGUAGCCGGAAGCUUCCGCCACCACCGUUUCCCCCAUAUAUUUGUCGAUUGUGUGGGAAAACGAUACUGUCUCUCUUCCCAUCAGCUAUGAUCCAUUCCUAUAAUUUGUGGCGUCGAAUCAACGAUCUAUCUGACAACCUUUUACUCGCACAAUUGUCUGAGCAAACUCGUGAACUGGGCAAUUAUAAUUUCAAUAGAGGGUAUUGAUCGUUGUCUCGGAUUUCAAGUUCAGAGAAGCAUAUUUUUUUUGUUUCAAAUUCAGCUAUUGUGAAUUCUGGUUUCCUGUUGCUCGAUGAGCUAAUAGUAGAUUUGCUUGUUUCUGUAUUCAAAUAGUUCUCAGUAACAUGUAUAUUUGUUUUGAUGAACGUGGAAACUGCUAUUUAUGGGUUGUGCAGGAUAUAAUCUGUUAACUUAAUCUGCUUUAUAAUCUGAUUGGGGAGAAUGGAUGGGAAUAAUUGGAGGCCUGCUGCUCCAGGCGGAGAAGCUGCUAUGGAGGGGGGUGACUGGAGAGCUACAUUGCAGACUGACUCGAGGCAGAGAAUCGUGAACAAAAUGUGAGUUCAGUGUAGCCAUUAUGAACGACGAACAAGUAUAAAGGAUCAUGUACCCGUGUCUGACAUAUUCUUAAUUAUGAAUGUGGCUUUAACUUAUGGUACAGAAUGGAAACAUUGAAGAGGCACCUACCCUUUUCUGGUCAAGAGGGACUGCAGGAACUAAAGAAAAUUGCUAUACGAUUUGAGGAAAAGAUUUAUACUGCUGCCACUAGUCAGGUUUGUGUUAAUUGGCUGGUGAUGGUUGUAAAACGUCUGCAUGAAUUUAUUUAGGAAAAUUAUGUGCUUCUGAUCGUUUCCCGUAGAUAUGAUUGAGGAUGCACUAUUCUUAUGUCACCCUAAUUCAUUAUCCAGUCUGAUUAUUUGCGGAAGAUAUCAUUGAAAAUGCUCACAAUGGAGAGAAAAUCAGAGCUGCCUAAUUCAGCAGGCAAUGGCAGUAAACCCCCUGAUCCAGGAGGUAAUACAUAGUUAUAGUGCUCUCCCCGUUCGCAGAUUUUGUGCAUACGUAUUGAAUAAUGUUAUGAAGAAUGCUACAAUCUGCUUAUGCUCUUUAUCAAGUUCUCAUCUUUAAUGGAAGUGUGUCAAGAAAGACGUUAUUUCAAGUACCUUUUGGUUUUCGCUGCUAAUUUUUUGUGAUUGUUGUUUCUCUAAUUCCCAUCUAUAUUCAUUUUGAACAGCAUCCCCUAGUAUGCAGUCCCAAGUUCCCAGUCAAGGGCAACCACUUCCUAUUCCAUUGCCAGCUAAUCAACCUCAAGCACGCCAACAAUUGAUGUCUCAGAAUAUGCAGAACAAUAUGAAUCCUGCUGGACUCCAAAGUUCCGCUACUUUACAAACUCCGCUGCCCCCUGUUUCUGGUAUGAACCAGACUCCAAUCAAUGUCGCCGGCCAAAAUGCUAGCAUGCAGAAUAUGUCUAACAUGGCUCAGAACCCAGUUGCAACUUCAAUAGGCCAAGGGGUUUCAUCGACCGUGUUUGGAAACUCUCAUAGACAGAUGCCUGGGAGGAACCAGGUUAUUGGCCAACAACAACAGCAAUCACAGAAUUCUCAACAGUAUAAUUAUCAGCAGCAGCAGUUCCAACAACAGUUGCUCAUGAAGCAGAGAAAUAUAGCACACCCCAUGAUUCAGUCACAACUUCAGCAACAGCAGCAGCCACAGCAAAAUGCUUUGCAGUCAUCUCAAUUCCAGCAGCCUCAGCAAAAUGCUUUGCAGUCAGCUUCUAUGUCUAACCUUUCGCAGAAUCAGUCAUCCUCAGUCCAACAGUCAACACAAUCCAUGCUCAGGCAGCAACAAUUUCAACAGCAGGCUGUUGGUCUUCAUCAACAACCAUCGUCAAUGAUGCAGCAGCAGUUGCUAUCUACACAACAACAACCACAAGUCUUGCCGACACAGCAGCAGCAACAACAACCGCAAGCAAUGCAUUCUCAGCAACAAAUGGCGGGGCAACCGGCCAAUGCUGCAUCCAUGCAGCAACAUCAGUUUGUUGGGCAACAAAACAAUAUGGGUGACUCGCAGCAACAACAGAGAUUGCUCAACCAGCAGGCUAAUCAGCAGCAGCAACAGUCUCAACAGCAGUCUCAGCAGCAGCAGAUGACUGCUCAGCAUCAACAACAACUGGGUUCUCAAAGUAAUUUCUCAGGUCUACAGCAGCCAACACAACAGCAUUUGCUUGGAAUACAGUCUGGCAACUCGAGCAUGCAGAACAAUCAACAUGCAGUAAAUAUGCUACAGCAGUCUAAGGUUCCUCUCCAGCAACAAACCCAACAGAAUUCUUCUAAUUUAUUACCAUCACAACAAGGGCAGCCGACGCAAUCACUGGCAUCCCAGCAACAACUGAUGUCUCAGAUUUCGUCACAUCCAGGACAACUGCAGCAACAACUUGGUCAGAACCAACAGACCACUUCGCUCCAAAGGGAGAUGCAACAGAGGCUACAAGCUUCAGGGCAACCACCGGGCUCUUUGGUUCAACCACAGAAUGUGGUUGAUCAGCAGAAGCAGUUAUAUCCAUCGCAAAGACCACUUCCAGAAACAUCAUCAAGUAUGUUUCUUUGUCUUCUCAACUCUAGUGUUUUUCCAGCUAAGAUUUUGGAGUAUUGUUGUCAUGUUCAUUUAUUUAGACAAUGAAAAUCAACUCUAACAAUCGGUUACCCCUUUGGAGUGGUCUCCGAUGUCUGGAUUUAUGGUGUUAUGGUUGUUGAUUCUGCCAUAUAUUGCUGUCCUUGGGGUAUUAUUUCAUCUGUCUCAAAAUUGUGCAAUUUCACUAUCCUAAAUGUCCUCGAGUGAUGUACCUGGUAGAGAUCUUCAUUGAUGCUAGUUUUGUUGUAGCGUCUCUAGAUUCUACAGCACAAACUGGCCAGCCAAAUGGAAUGGAUUGGCAAGAGGAAGUCUAUCAAAAGGUUGGUCGAUGCUGUGAUGAGUUGGCUCGUCCGUUUAUUCCUUUGGAAUUCAAGCACUAACCGUUGAGUCCACUCUUAAUUUCUUACUAAUCUUCCCAUUUCUUUCCAGAUAAAAGCCAUGAAGGAGAUGUACUUGCCUGAACUAAAUGAAAUGUUCCUAAAAAUUGCUUCAAAGUUACAGCAGGUGUGUGCUUUCUUAUAUUCGUCAAAUCAGUUUUGUGUCAAUCACUCACGUUUUUCCAGUCAUUACCCACUUGCAUCAUUUUACCUAACCUGUACGUCGAUUUCUAAAUCCUACAUAUUUUAGUAUCCCAAUACGGCUAGGAAGUGAGAUCACGUGCAUUGGGCAUUUUGCUCUUUGUGUUUUUGUGUAUAGUUUCUUCAUUUAAUGAUCGAUUGAUGAAUUUUUCUUAGUUUCAGUACUUCGUUUCAUCGUGCCCUGUACCGUAAACUAAGGAACCCGGACUACUUUUUAUUUGUACCCUAACUUUGCAAUGAUUAUUACAGAAGCUCUAGGGUCAUUUUGAAAUGCUGCUUUUUUUUUCUCCAGCAUGAUUCACUUUCGCAGCAGCCGAAGUCAGAUCAGCUUGAAAAGUUGAAGAUGUUCAAGACUAUGCUGGAGCGCAUGAUAAAUUUCUUACAAGUACCCAAAGAAAAUGUUAUUCCGAGUUUUAAAGACAAGCUUGGAUCCUAUGAGAAACAGAUUAUGAGUUUCCUAACUACAAAUAGGCCGAAAAAGCCGAUGCCUCAAAUGCAACAAGGGCAACUUCACCCUUCUCACAUGCAAUCCUUGCAACAAGCACCAUCACAAAACCCUCAACCGCAGUCUCAUGAAAAUCAAAUGAACCCCCAGUUGCAACAAAUGAACAUGCAAAAUUCAGUAUCAUCCUUGCAUCAGAACAAUAUGUCAAAUAUGCAGCAAUCGAUGAUGAAUUCUCUCCAGCCAGGUUCUAAUAUCGAUUCUGGACAAGGAAAUGCUAUGGCCUCAUCACAGGGGGCUACUAUGGGAUCUAUACAACAAAACUCUUCAAGCGCUUCCCAGCAGGCAAAUAUUGGUGCCAUGUCCUCGCAAAGUGGGUUGACCAUGUUGCAGCAAAGCCAGCAUCUUCCGUCCAAUCCCAAUAUGCUUCAACAGCAACAAGUAUUGCAGUCACAGCAGUACAAACAGCAGUUUCAACAGCGACAGGUGCAACAGAUACUUCAUCAGCAUCAACAACAACAACAACAAAGGCAGCAACAAAUAAAACAACAAGAAAACCAGCAGCAACAGCAGCAGCUACCUACACAGUUGCAGACACAACAAAUGUCACAGUUACAUCAGCAGAUGAACGACACAAAUGAGAUGAAGAUUAGACAGGGGUUGGGGGGUGUUAAGCCAGGCGGUGUCUUUCAGCAACAUCUCUCAAAUGGUCAGCGAGCUGGUUAUCCCCCGCAGCAGAUGAAAUCCGGAGCUUCCUUUCCUAUUUCCUCCCCUCAAAUGUUUCAAACUCCUUCGCCCCAGUUACUACAACAUUCUUCUCCGCAAGUUGACCAGCAGAACCUCCAUCCAUCACUUCCCAAAACUGGAACUCCUCUACAGUCUGCACACUCGCCUUUUGUUGUUCCGUCUCCUUCAACUCCUUUGGCACCAUCCCCUAAUCCCGGCGAUUCUGAAAAACCCGGCAUCUCUUCACUUUCAAAUGCUGGAAUUUCUGGGCAUCAACACCCAACUGCUGGACAAGCACCUGCACAGUCUCUUGCGAUCGGUACUCCUGGGAUCUCUGCUUCACCGUUGCUUGCAGAGUUCUCCGUUCCGGAAGGGGUACACGGUAAUGCUUUCACAACUGUUUCUGGGAAGCCAUCUGUUGCAGAGCAGCCCCUUGACCGGUUACUUAAAGCGGUUGGUGAUAUUUGGAACCCUUGUUAUUACCUGGACACCUUUAGCAGAAUAAUUUUAACAAUCUUGUUUUUGUUUACAGGUAAAGUCUGCUUCUCCCCAGGCUUUGAGUGCAGCUGUGAGUGACAUCGGUUCGGUUGUUAGUAUGAUCGACAGAAUUGCAGGGUCUGCUCCAGGUAAUGGAUCUAGAGCCGCUGUGGGGGAGGAUUUAGUGGCGAUGACGAAAUGUCGUCUUCAAGCAAGAAAUUUCAUCACUCAAGAUGGAAUUAGUGGAACUAGAAAAAUGAGGAGAUUCACUAGUGCCAUGCCCUUAAACGUCGUAUCAUCCGCUGGCGGUGGAAGUGAUAGCAAGCAAUGGAGCGGUGCAGAGACCUCUGAUCUCGAGUCUACUGCAACAUCUGGUGUUAAGAGGCCUAGGUUGGAGGUAAGUGACUCAGUUUGAUUCAUAAGACAUUUCAGAUCACACAUUGGACAACUAAUUGAACCUAGAGCAUGUUAUACAUAAGUAAUUUGAAACAUGUGCGAUACCUUUGAUAUGAGCCAGAAUGACCUCGUCAACCUUUGUUCCUUUAUGGUACGAAAAAUGUUCAAUAACCAGUCCUAGAAGAUACAUUCGAUGAAAAAGUAUAAGCAGAUUUGUGCGAGGAAAGAUUUCAACACUAGAGCCUAUAAUUAGUUAAAUACUGCUUUGCAGGCAAAUCAUGCAUUGCUGGAAGAGAUAAGGGAAAUCAACCAGGGACUAAUUGACACUGUGGUUGAAAUUAGCGAUGAGGAUGUUAAUCCCAGCGCUGAAGGCGGGGAAGGAACUAUCGUAAAGUGUUCGUACUCUGCUGUAGCCCUUAGCCCCGGUUUGAAAUCGCAGUAUGCUUCUGCUCAAAUGGUCAGUUCCGCAACCCAACCCCUCUGUGAUUUAAUUCUACUUACAGUCGAGUCAUUCUCGAAGAAAUCUCCCUAACUUUUUAUAUUCUGUCAUUUUCUGUCCCGUACGUAUAAAAUGCAGUCCCCAAUUCAGCCGCUACGAUUGCUCGUGCCUAUAACUUAUCCGAGCUGCUCUCCUGUUCUACUGGACAAGUUCCCAGUUGAAGCCAGGUAAGAAAAAAGACAAAAACUCUACUGCUGUUUAUUAACUGAGAUCAAAACUGGACUAAAUUGCUAAAUGACCUUUGUUUCAUCAAAUUGAUGCAGCAAGGAGUAUGAGGAUGUAUCAGCGAAGGCAAAGUCGAGAUUCAGCAUAUCUCUUCGCAGCCUAUCGCAACCGAUGUCGCUCGGGGAGAUAGCAAGGACAUGGGACAUAUGUGCCCGGGCAGUGAUAUCGGAACACGCCCAGCAGAGCGGCGGAGGUAGCUUCAGUUCCAAGUAUGGCACCUGGGAGAAUUACUUGACCGCCGCUUAAUCGAUCUGAUAUUUAUCAUCUCCUAAAAUUUGUAGUUAAUUGAAAUGUUCAGUUUGUAUUCCUCUGUAUGUAUGGGAUCUUUUGGUGUGUUGUAGACAUCAAGAACAUUAUCGUUUAUUCCAGAUUUGUUUAGCUUGGUACAUUUCUCGUUCCCUCGAAUGUCGGGACUAAAACAUUCGACAUCUUUGUAAUCUAGCACACCAUCGACCACAAGAUCGUCCUUAAUUUGUGGUUCAGCUUGGUGAGUACAUUUCUCGUUUCCUUGAAUGUCGGAAAUAAAAUAAUCGACAUCUUUGUAAUCUAGUGCACCAUCGACCACUAGAUCGUCCUUUGACGGAUAAAUCUCCUAACGGCUAUGUGAUUUUAACCCAAAAGGCGGUAUAAUUUUGAUUUAUAGAGCAAGUAUGGGGCAUAGAUAUCUAAAUAGAUUCAUGAUUGAUACGAACAUUACUUAUAUCAGUCCAUUAACCCCAUGGGUGCGAAUAUUUUCCUCUUUAACCGAAGUGGUAAACAUCCAAUCUCGUAACGGAUAAAUGUACUUGUAACUCAAAAAAUCUACAUUUUUUUAUGGAUUUUGAUAUAAUAAUAAUUCUAUCUCCUAACGGUUAUGUGAUUUUAACUCAAAAAGCCAUAUAGUUUUGAUUUAUAGAGUAAGUAUGGGACAGAGACACCUAAACACAUUCAUAAUUAAUACGAACAUUUCUCAUAUUAGUCGUGUAACUCUAAGCAUGUGAAUAUUUACCUUGUUAACCGAAUCGAGAAAUAUGAGUUCGAAUAAAAACCAAAUUCUUGUUCGUGUACAAAAUUAUCCUUUAAAAAAUAAUUAUCCUACUGUUAUUAUUCUGUUAACUUGAGUGGAAAAUAAAAACUUGCCGUGAAAAAAACUUCGACAAGUUGACGCGCGAAAGCGAAAUCCCAGCGAAUCGAAACACUCCACGUGGCCGUCUGCUCUGCUUUCCCGCCACUUUCCUAUUGUCGGUUUGCUCUUUGGCCCCUUUUGCUGCGUUCGGUUUGUUGUAAGUCAACAGUGAAAGCAGAAAUCCGAGUCUUCCCGUUCGGCGAGUCGCUUUCAAAGAAACCUUCAAAUUCAAAUCCCCUGUAGAAAACAAUUCAUAAAUAUCCAAAGUUUUUCAAAGACCGUUUCAAAAUCCAUAUCCUCCAUUAUUUCUCAGUAGUAUAAUCUCGCAGAUUCAGUAGCCUCAAAUUCGGAAAAAUCUCACCACCAGAAAAGCUUCAUCCAGUCACCGGCGGCCGGAAACCCCAUGUCGCUUCAACGCCUUGACCCACGAAGUGCGGCGAAGAAAGCGGUUUCCGUGAUCGGGUUCGGGUACGAUUUAUCGAACGACGUCCGGCUCUCGUCCUGCAAGCCAGGUCCGUCUGGGUCGAAGCUGCUCGAGCUCGACCCGAAGAUACCCACUCGGGACUUGGUGGUUCCGGGUGGGAUAGUGGUUAAGGACGUCUGGAGCGGGAUCAAGUGCGAUAAGGGCGAACGUACUCGGUUCAAUUCCGACGUCCUGUCUUUCAAUCAAGUAGACAACAAACCCUCAACUGAAUUUUGAUUUUUUUCGAGUAUUAAUCGUGUUUUCGAAGUAUUGAAAUCGAGAAUAUUUGUGUGUGUACGAACUAGAUGUCGGAGAAGUUGAACCGGGAAUUGACCUUAUCGGGGAAGAUCCCGACAGGGAUGUUCAAUACGAUGUUUGAUUUCAAAGGCUGUUGGGCGAAAGACGCCGGUUCGGUCAAGUCGCUAGCCUUUGAUGGAUGGUUCAUUACUCUGUACAACAUCGAGCUCGAACGGUCACAUUUGACCCUCUCCGAAACGGUCAAAUCCGAGGUUCCCAAUUCCUGGGAUCCUCAGGCGCUUGCUGAGUAAAGUUUCUGCUUCAUCCUGCUGUUUCGUUGCAUUCCAACGGCUCGAGUUUAGCGGGAAAAUGUUCUAAAUUGGUCUUACAGGGUCGAUUUUUUCGCAGGUUUAUCGAGAAAUACGGAACCCAUAUCGUGGUCGGGGUGAAAAUGGGAGGUAAAGAUGCGAUCCACAUCAAGCAGUUAAAAAGAUCGACUCUUGAUCCGACUCAAGUGCAGAAGUUGCUGAAGCAGUUAACUGAUAAGAGAUUUUCGCAGGAUUCUGAAUCAUCAGCUAAACCCAAAGUAAAUGAGUGUUUAACCGAAACUUGUCUAACUCGGAUAGGAAACAGACUCGAAUUCGGAAUUCAAAUUCAAAUCCUUUUGGUAUUUGUAAUUUCAGGAUGAAGAUGCUCUACCAUUUGGAGUUCAUGGAUCUUAUUAUGCUGCUUCAAUUAGGCCGCCUGGUGUCACUCACUUAAAGAACGAGGUUAGCUUUUCUGCUCUGCUGUUUUGUAUCGAUCUUACGGCUAGUUUCUAUCGAUUCGGGUUGUCGAUGAACCAAGGUGAGCUGCUCGGUCUUCCACUUAAGAAAAGCUCGAUAGGUACUUUGCUCUAGGUUUCAAACGAUCUGGCUGGUGAGCCAACUUGGCUCGUGAGAUCGAUGAGCCUAGCUCGUGUGAGCCUCGAUUACCUGCUCGAUUGAGGUUUGUUAGUUAGCCCUAUCGGUGUAGCUCCAGAGAAUGAUUUUUCCUUAACAACAACCAUGAAUAUGAUGGAUGAAUGAAUGAUUCUUCCUUAAUGACUAGUUACUUAUUUAGCUACGAGUCUAGUCCACUUUAGAAUAAUGUGAUUUUUUAAUAAGUUUAUCAAGGUUGAGCUCAAGACUGAACUUGGCUUGUUAAGACUUGUAAACUUGGCGAGCUCGAGCUCAUUAAGAGAAACAGACGAGCUAAGCUCGAGCACUUUAAAAACUGCAAACAAGCUGAGCUCGAGCUCGUUAGAACUUGUGAAUGAGCCAAUAUGGAGUCUAGCACACAAUAAAUAGUUGAGCUAAACUCAAGCUUGAUUAUCACGACUCGAACGCACCUAUGAAUCAAAUGAGCCGAGCUCGAACUCACGCCACAAUACCAUAUUAGUCGAGCCGAGCUCUACGCUUGAUUAUCAUUUUCUCGAGCCCGCUUAUGAACCAAACGAGCUGAGUUCGAGCCGGGUAAAGCUCGGCUCUUUUCGUCAGCAGCUCCACUUCUGAUGAUAGAUUGUUUGUGUAACAGGAUUCGGUAAGUAUUAGCAUAAGAAGUGGAGGAGUGGAUGUUGGCCAAAGUCAUAAUCAAUGGCUUCCCACAAUUGUACAGUCUCCCAAUGUCAUAUCAAUGUCACUUGUUCCCAUUACUUCACUGUUGAGUGGUGUCCGUGGCAAUGGCUUCCUAACUCAUGCAGUCAAUCUUUACCUUCGAUGUAAGUUCCGAAAGGCAGUGGAAUCGUAAAGUCGUAAGAUUUCUUAUCUGUUGAAAGAAAUGUUUUGUUUCUCCCCGGUCCUGCAGAUAAACCACCCAUAGAAGAACUCCAGCAGUUCUUAGAGUUCCAAUUACCCCGAAAAUGGGCUCCAAUCUACGGUGACCUUCCGCUUACUCUCCGGCGGAGGAAACAAGCUUCCCCUUCUCUCCGUUUCACCUUCAUGGGUCCGAAGCUAUACGUGAACACGACAAUGGUACGUUUUGGAGGGGGGUUAGAUAUUGCCGAGUGAGUUAAUUGCGAAACGAUUUCUGGGAUGGAGAUGGUUUUAAGAGAUCCUGUUAAUCAUAUGGGGACAACGGCUACAUCCCAAUUAACUCGAGUUAUUGAAAAAUGUACAUAACUGUUCUACAAGUUUGACUUGGUGAAGUCGAAAUAAAUGAAAGGGUUUUCCUUGUUGCUUCAGGAUUUGUAUUUUGCUUUCAGGUUGAAUCAGGAAACAGGCCAGUGACAGGAAUCAGGUUACACUUGGAAGGCAAAAGAAGUGACCAUCUAGCGGUCCAUCUACAGCACCUCGCCACGGUUCCAAACUCGAUCCAGCUUGAGAACGACGACCACGAUAGCCACGGUGCCCAUCCGAUCGACCAGCCCGAACGAGGCUACCUGGAGCCCGUCAAUUGGACGAUAUUCUCCCACGUCUGCACCGCUCCCGUGCAGUACGACGGAGCUCGAAUCGACGACACCGCCUCGAUCGUUACCAAGGCCCGGCUCGAGGUCAGAGUCACGGGCUUAAAAAAAGUCCUGUUCUUGAGACUCGGUUUCUCCAUGGUCAAGACAGCCCGGAUCCGCAGAUCCGAAUGGGACGGACCUUCCAACACAAUGUCGAGAAAGUCGGGGAUUUUCUCGACAUUGAUGAUUAGUACCAAGUUCAGUACUAACAAUAUGAACCCGAACGAACAAGAAGUGGUUGGAAAGGUGGAUUUGAAUUCAGCCAUUUUUCCCGGUGGACCUCCCUUACCGGUUAGGGCACCGAAAAUGUCAAAUUUCGUCGACACCAGGGAGAUGGUGAGAGGUCCCGAGGACUCCCCAGGAUAUUGGGUCAUGACCGGAGCUAAGCUAUGUGUAGAGGAAGGUCGGAUUUCGAUCAAGGGGAAGUAUUCUUUGUUAGCAAUGAUUUCUGAAGAAUGUAUGAUGUUUAUGUGAGAGGUAUGACAAUUUGCUUAGGGAAACAAUUGCACAUAAUCAAUACAUGUAGAGUCCCCGUUUACUUAUAGUUAACUUCACAUAGAUAUAUAUAUAUAUAAAAUCUAGAUCUGGACCGGCUGCAAAGAGUUGGACCAUCCGACGAUGGAGGUGUAACUCGAUCAGAAAACUCUAGCGGCGGCCAUAAACAAUCUCGUAUUCUAUUGCUUGUUCAUCAAGGUAACAUCAACGUUACAGGUAAUGAAAAACAAAACUCUACUAAACCUGUAAAAUAGGUAAAGGAAAGAUUCCACUUCAUUCCCAUAAGAUACAAACUGACAACAAUGGACUGACUACAAAUUGGGGGAACCUAAACCUAGUAAAUUACUUCCUACAUUUGGUAUACUAACUCAAAAAUGGUAAGGAGAAAACUGCCUCUACUCUUCAGUUUCGGCAGCCUCAAACUGUGAUUCGACUACUCGUUGCUGCUGUACUCAUCUGACUCUCCCGAAUCGUCACUAUCUCCCGCAUCGUCGUUUCUUGCCACUUUAUCAUCCUCUCCUGAAUCGUCACUAUCUCUAGCAUCAUCGCUGUUCCUCGCCACUUUAUCAUCAUCCUCUCCUUCCUCACCGGAACCAUCCGACAUUUCUUCAUUGCCAGAAUCCUCCUCUUCCACCAUCUCUUCAUCUUCGACUCCAUUCCUGUUUUCGUCCCCGGAAGCAGCAGCAUCGCUGGAGGCUCCUUCUUGGUCCUCCUGGUCGCUCCCCUCUACCGAGUUCUCUCUCCAACCGUUGGAGUUGGAUUUUCCGCCUGCAUCAAAUCCCCGGUUCCAAGCUUCCGGUUGUUCGUACCCCUCUUCUUCGGCAGCAUUAUCGUCCUCUUCUUCGGCAGCAUUAUCGUCCGACUCUUCUGCCAGUGCAGCAGCAUCCUCAUCAGACUCAGCCGAGGAGCUGCCGCUAUCACUACCGCUACUGCUAUCCUCGCUCUUGUCGACUUGCAUCCUCCGAGUCUCGUAACUUUCUUCAUUGAAACGUCCUUUGGGAGGAGGCAUCCUCUCGGUCGCGUGGCCAAUAAAUUGCUCUCCUCUGGCAUUCACACUCUCCGGUCUCCUCUUCCGGACCGUCCUUGGACCCCGACUCGGCUCCUGAAUGUUCACCUCUCGCCUCGACGCUGCUACUAUCCCUUGCCUCUGGUUGUUCGCCGCCUGUGACUUUCGACUGCUUGUCUGGGAAGGCGGUCUAUGAGUCGGCGUUCGUCUCCGCUGCUUUUUCGACACUCGUCCUAGAUUGCUUUUCACUCUUCGACGUUUACCUACGUUCGACUUGCUCGGUGGGUUAACCGCGACCUCUUCCUUGAAGUUUUCUUGCUCGACAAGCGAAUAAGCUUGAUGCUGCUUCUGCAAGUGUUGCAAUGUAGAGAUGCUUACGAAACCGAUUCAAGUAAUAUUUUCUCAAAAAAUGAGAACACGACCAACCACUUACCGUUACAAGUGUAUCGAGAUUGUCAUCAGAAGGCAUAUCCUUUUCUUGCUUUACGUAAAUGAUGGAAGCGUCCAGCUCAAAGAGUCUCAGAGCCACGGCUGACAUGGUUCUUGGUAUCCACGGAAGUACGCGAACCGAGGCCAAAUCAGAUUUUUCAUUUAGUGUAGUUAUCCCAAGUAAUUCCUUCGUAGAUUCGUAAUUAGGUGACAAGAAGUCUGGUUUUAUGGCACUCUCAAACGCACUCAGCAUCUGUCAAAGCAUAUCACUCGAUUAGCAAACCUUAUUUGAUAAAUUAUCGUCGUAUCAUGACAUGAAUUGCUUUGCAAACCUGAAGAAGUUCUUCAAUCGAUGACAAUGCCGCCAAUCUCCUGCUCCACGACUUUCUAUGGCUCUCGGUCCAAAACGAUUCAAGAGCUUCCGCUGGAACAAAUGCCUGUCGAUAGGUACAAAAAACGAAUUAGCGAGUCACUUCAAUUGUGAAUCUAGAACAUAAAAAUACUCGGCAAAAAAUGUGAAACUCAGUUCACCUCAAUUGAAGCUAACAGAGCCUUAAGCAGAUUGAUCCCCAGUGGUAGAGAUGGAUUAGACCCACAGGCAUCCGUGGGGUCUGGCUUACUUCGUUUACUGCAUAUAGCUUCGUGUUCUCCAAAAUCAAAAUUGCCACCACCAAAAGUCUGGUGGCAAAAAAUGCAAUGGCAAUCUUCGGAUGCGUAAGAGUCGAGACAAGAGUCGCAUGCAUCCAACAGUUGUCUGGAUCGUUUCUUUCCGAACUUCAUUGCACAUGAUGCCGUUGGGCUGAGGCUUUCUUUCCAAAUCCACAUCUGCAGAUCCUGAUACCUCCGCAACACCCCCCGUUUCUCCCGUUCGUUCCUCCCAAUCUCGAUUCGGAACAAAGAAAAUACAUCAUGUAGAUUGGAGUUCGUUCCGCAAACCAAACUGCUAGGGCUUUCCGUACCAGCUGAACAAUUGGGGCUGGAGUCUCUUAGUGAGACUUCUUCUUCCAUUGAUUUGCUAGAUUGCAAGCUCGUCCUAACAGUAUCUUUGAAGGACAUCUCAAUCUUCUUCAACAUCAGACGCAAAUGGGAUUCCCUAAUCCCACGACUAUCCAAGGACGACAAAAGGGCAUCGAACUCCUGCGAGAAAAUCCAAUCAGAGACAAAGUCAUUACAUAACCAGAAAACAUAACUAGAAUAUUUCAUCAUCAUUUUUUGGUUUCGAGCAUUACCUUUUCAGAAUCAAUAACCCUCCAUGUUCCAUUUUGUAAUUCAACAAAGAUCCUACCAGAGCAAGGAUCACUAUGAGAAGCAGAAGCAACAAACAGCCAGUACCGGUUACGCCUGCGAUCUUGACCAAGUGGCAGUGACCUAUAAAUAUAAGUCUCUUCUGCAACAUGGGCAGUAUACGCUUUCAGUUGUGAUCUGAACCUUUUAGAACUAUACCCAAGUUGUAGAUCUUGAACAGCUGCAGUUCUGUCGUCGUGAAAAUUGCCAUUCUGUACAUUCUCAGACGUAAGAAGUAACUUCUGUUCCUCUAUAAUGUUUCGAGAAGCGUCCUUAAAGUCAUCAGCUUGAUGCGAAGGACUAGGGUUACCAGACGGUACCUCCAAUAUCUGAAUUACAUCAUCUCUCAAAUGACUCCUAUCCGAUUGCGCCUCAGCCCACAUCUGUUUUUUAAGAGCAGUCGCAGCUUCCAACCGGUCCUGCAAAGGGAGAUAUAGAGUUAGGAGAAGGAAAAUAGAUACCACAAGCCAAAAGAAUUGCAGCAAUGAUCUGAUGUAUUCACCUCAAGAACAGAACGUAUGAUACUACCCUCGUUUGCAAUGCCAACCAGCUUGAAAAGGGCAUCGAGACGCUCCUCAACACUGAGAUGAGAAUAUUCUCCCUCUGCAAGUCCUUGAACCCAAGAUUCACCAAACUUGCUUUCAUCAAUUUCAACGUUCUCUUCCUUCGCAUUACCAACCAAGGGAUUUCUAUCAGCAAAUUGGUCAAUUGUACCAGGAGUACUUGUUUCUCUUGCCCCAUUCUCAGGGAAUCGAGAGAGAUCAUUCUCAGAUUCACUCUUUACAAUUAAUGACGACCAAAUGUGUGGAUCAUCAUUUUCGAUUUCCGUCGGACCAUUUUCUUUUUCAUCAUCAUUGUCAUUCCCGAAUGGAGUAUGAACUCCAUUAGCUUGGCCAACAAUUUUAUCGGCGUGCAGUGGAGUACUCAGAUCAUCAACUUCAGGAUCGUCAUCAGCUUCAGCCUCGGAAUCAUCAUCUCGUUCGACAUCAUCAGCAACCUCGUCAGCAUCCUCUUCCUCCAAAAACCCAUUUGCAAAAACAUACAUUUUCUUUCUUGCUUCUGCAAGUAUCGCCUCUCCAUCUGCUGGAUCCUUCCUGUAAGGAUCCCGCAGACAAUAUGUUGAAGGAGCAACUCUUUCAAAGAGCUUCUGAUCCCUAGUUAAAGCAACAGAUAUAGACGCCUCUGGAGUCCUGCUUGUUGAGAAGUCCCGAAGUCCGGAUUUCUGUAGCACAGGAAAAUUUUAGAACAAGUGAACUGAAUGGCAGAACAAGCCAUACUAGAGAAGAAGCUCACCUGAAUCUUAUCUGCGAGUUCUAUCAACGUCAAUCCCUCACUUCCUUCGAGUGAAAGAACAUGAAAAGCAGCAAAUUUUACUGUUCCAGGUGUAAGUCUGUGCCUAGAUUUCCGUGGAUUUAAUAAACCUUUUUCUCGCAUCAGUGCAAAAGCAUUUUCAGCUGCCAAUCCAUUCCGUAAAUUCAAAACUGUCUCUUGAUAACGGUUGGCCUAUGAGAGAAGAUAUUGUUCCAUCAGUCUUUGAACAGAAAAUCACACAGUAGUAUCAUAUCUAUUCAUAACACUACGACCCGACUUUCGCACGUAGGCCAAACCUCAUCAUUUGAGUGCCUCCAUGCUGCAUUCUUGUCCCGCAAUUGUGGCCCAAAACCUGCAGACAGGGCCAACUCCCGCAAUAUUUCAGGCCAAGAUAAUGGAUUCAAGAGUUGCUGCCACUUGCGUAUGUCAAAGCCCCACAUGUAUGCCUGCAGAAGCACAAAAAGCACAUCCUGGAUCAAGACAUGAAUACUCCCGUCCUCCCCAAAACACGAUAUGAAAAUAAGAAAAUAUUUGGAGAUUACCCCUUCAACAAUCUGUGGAUGUCCGCCUUCAGGAUUAGCUACAGAAUACUGGUUCGUCCCUAAUCCAGUUGGUGCCCUACCACCAUCUUCAAUGUCCUUAAUGAUUAAUUUCAAAAGACUAAUGUGUAUCUCACCCAGCAACCUUGAAUCCUAUGAACAUAAUGGUAUCAAUAUAAGAACGAAAAUGGAGAAUAUUCUGUCUGUGUUAUGAGUGAAGAAGAAAGCUAAGAAAAUAUUAGGAUUUCAAUAGUAACUCACAUAGUCAUGAAGCGCUUGAAUAAACUCAUCAAGGGUAAAUGGCCAUAAUCCAAGGACAUCAGCAAAAGUUAUGCAGAACCUCCAGAUCUGAGAAAUACAGUUUGUAGUCAGAUUCCAGAACAAGAGGGCUAGAUAAAAUAUUCUUUCAAAUAAUGGUCUCUAUGACAAAGGACAUUUUUCCCGACAGAGAAGCUUUAGUCCUUCAUUAAGUAUUAGAUAAAACGAGUAGACAGCGAACAAAGACAAAAAGUACCGCUUUUCAAGGAUUGAAGUUACAAAAAUGCUUGCAUCUUCCAGUAUGAGGAUGCUGAACAAAUAAAUACUAUAGCCAAUAUUUGCGUAAUGUACCAUCAGAAGGUUUCCAACAUUAUCUUCUGAAUCCACCCAAGGCUGAAAGCUAAAUGGCUUCUUCAACUGUAUCGACUCCGAUGGGAAUGUGCAUAAAGAAUCUAGAAACAAAAACAGUGUUAUGAACAGCUCGGAUAAUGAAAUACCUAAACAGUGUUAUAAAACCCAAUCAACAUUUUUUCCGCCAUACCUCUGAAUGCAUCAAGAGUUUGCAUUGUAUUGUAGUCUAGUUGAACUAUUGAGGACAACCCUUUAUUUGCAGCAGCCAAUUCCAUGAGCUCCAACUGUUCAUCCUCAAUAAGAUCCAAAGACUCUUUGGCAAUUCUCCGUGCAGUUGCUUUCUCAAUGGCAGCUUUGCGUCUAACUUCCUCUCUUUCUUUCCUUUGCUCGUCCCUUUGCUUCUGCUUUUCAGCCUUCACAAAAUAUAAACUUGUUUAUUUUCUUAACAAGAAAAGGGACAACCAGAGUGAUACAAAAUAUAGAAAGAUCAGAUCAAAGUUCAGAAACCUACACACCCUUAAAUACUCUUUCUGCAACAUCUUUUCCCUCCUUUCUAGCUCACGUUUUUGUUCACGCAAUGACUUCUCCUCGUCUCGCUGUCUUUCACGGAUGAGUCUCUCUUCUUCCUUCUUUCUUUCACGGUCUUGCCUUUCCAUUUCUUUCCUCAUUCGCUCUUCAUUCUAUUUUGCAUGGAAAAUUAAAAUCUGAUUGGUAAAUAUGAAUGGCUUUGCCUUGCUAGUAUAUCACGAGCAGUAGUUUACUAAAGAACGAAAUGAUUACCCUGCGUCUCAGUAAGUCUUGUUUCUCAAUCUCUUUUCGCGUUCGACUUUCCUGGGCUUCAGCUUCCCGAAGUCUUGCUUCUUCAUUCUGCCAGAUGAAAACAAAGAAAUAAGUACAAAUGUACAAUAGUGAAUUACACUUCAGGGGUAAAGUUAUUUGACUUCAAACCUUUAUUUUCGGUUUCUUCUCUGUCAUAAAAUCUGAUUCACCAUGGAAGACAUUGGCAUCCUGGAAUACACUUGUAUUUUCAGGUGCCAACAUAUGAUGACUGGUAGAUUCACCACUUAUUCUAUGAUUUUGAAAGGGGUGCGCUUGCGGAAGAUAGUCAUCAUCCCUUUGAGGUGAUGGAAGAAGAUGACUUUUCCCUUCGUGUGCAGACAAAAGGCGUACACGGGAUGCAGGAGUUUGGAUACCAUGAACUCUGGGCAAACGUUCAUCUCCACGUACAGACGUUGAAGUUCUCCUCAUUGAAGUAUCAGCUGGCGUAUCAUGGUACGAAUGUUGGGUAACUUGUCGAUAUGUGUCAGGUCUUAUGCUGGAUUGAUCCUGGAGAAACUGAUACUCAUGAACAACUCUUCCAGAGGCCUGAUAUUGGAUUAACCAAUUUAGUAAGCACAGGCAACAUAAAAAGCGUCUAUAUUGACUGGAGAUAAACUGACCAACUAAUCAAAACUUGUUCAGCAGUUGAAGUAUUGCUCUCAGUUUAGCAAGUCCAUAGGGUGACUAUAGCAGGACCAGCAUGGCAAUAUAACAUAGGCAAAUCGAAUAGAUAUCAUCAAGACCACAAGUCCAAAUAAUGAUAAAAGCACAACAUUCAUCCUAAAUUGCAUGCAAGUCACAUAAAUUGCAUGCGAAGCACAUAUCCACGGGAGAGACUGAAGACAAAACCUUUUUUGAUUUCCCUUCACGUCGUUGAACUAUCUUCUCUUCAUAAGAAUAGCGCUUCUGCUCUUCCACCACUGCAGCUGCACAGAACACAAAGAAUGUAUAUUUCUCCUAUUAAUCGGGCUUAAACGCGCAUUGAGAGGCAGCUAAGUCUUUAUCAACAAUUGUAACUUUUACUAUAGUCAAAUGAAUCACAUCCUGUCGUUUACGUAGCAUACCAAUUGGGGCACCAAAAGCAUCAGGUGGCAAUGUAUCAAACUCGAUUCCUAAGAUCGGACCAUCCUCCCUCAAAGGCUCCCCCAAUUGUGCCUCCACACAUGCAAUAGCUCUAACCAGAAUAGCCGACUGCCGUGGUGGCUCUUUAUACCCCCUCGACAUCGGCACAUCAGCCACUGGCAUUCUUCUCGGAUCUGUACAAGGGCUGGAACCAGAACCUGAGCCAGAUCCAUAGUUACUUCCAUGAUCAGGAACUUCAGCCUUGACAUCCUCCACAGGAGAUUCCGGCAUGGGCAGCGCUUUCCGAGGCUUCUUUGCCGGAGUCUUCUCUUCUUUCUUCUCCACUUUCUUCUCUUCUUUCUUCUCCUCCCUUCUGUCUUUCAACCUCCUAUGGCAAAACCACAUCUGCAAUUGCCUGUCCGCUAGUCCCAAUUUCUUAGCUAACUCUAUCCUCGUAGCCUCUGUUGGGUAUGUCUCCACUGAUACAAACAAUACAAAACCCAACUUCAAUGAAACAAUACACAACACUUGCACACAUAACUUCAAUGAAAUCAAGCUGCUAGAGAUCCAAACCCACGGAAACGGAACCAAAAACAUUCCUUCUACAGUUCAACAACGUUUUUCCAACUUCCAGAAAUUCUCCCACCAACAAUCAGCGGAUCAAGAUCGAAAUCAUGUAUGCAAAAGGAAGGCAGCAAAGAAAGAAACACGAACCGGAAUAAGCUUUCUCGAGGGUUUCGAGCUGGAACGGAGUCUUCAUCUGACGUUUGGGCUUUCCGUCGCCGCCACCGCCGCCGCCGCCGGAGCCAGAUGCGACGCCCUUGUUCGGCUUCCUGCUCUGGUAAUCUUCUCCGUCGGAAUUGGAAUCCAUCUCGUGAACGCGAUCCAAAUCCAGCGAAAAUCAACGAAAUUAGGGUUUCUGAAUCGCAGAAGACAAACACCAAUCCUGAAUCCUCACACCCAAAAGCGAACUCUGGAUUCGAUUUGCCUCCUCUCUGGCCUAAGAAACUCCCAAAGAGAAAUCGACGGAGGCGGAGGAACAAAGGAUUAACAACAACCCUAACAUGGGAUAAAAGGAAAAUUCGAAGCACAAACCGAUUGAAUGAAGAAUUGGGGAUUUGGAUUGGAGGGAUCCGGAAUAGCAGUAUUAGUAAAAAAGAAAAAAAAGAUUAAAUUAAAUACAAAUGAUUAUAAGAACAAGUAACUAUCACACAGAAGAAUAACUGAACAGGAUUUAAAGUUUUCCGUAUACAAAAGGAAAAUAAAAAGAAAAACUUUAUAAGGAUUUAACUGUCACAGACAUAAUCGUGACAAAUACCCAAACGCCCAAAAUUCAUCCAUCCAAGUUCGUCGAUGUUCGAAGACUGUUCUUUAGUCCUUUUUCUGCGCGGAGAUAAGAAAGCGAGUUGCUUCGAUCUCCGAUUCAUUUUUUUACAAUGUUUCGAAGUGAAUUUUGAAUAUUGAGUUUAUGAUCUUUGUUUGAUGACUGUGAAAUCAAUGUCUGGAUUCGAGCUUGCUGAUGGUUCUUCUUUGAAACGCUGACGGGAAUCUUUGAAGCUCGACAAAGAAUUUGAGUUUUGUUGUUUGUGUCAAAAAUUUGGCGCGGGUGGCUGGACUUUCCCGCCUUUAUGUGUGGGCUGGGCUUACUUCGUAACAAUUAAAUUACUGGGCUGUGCCCAAAUAGUUGCAUUUUCCUUUUCUUUUUCUUCAUAUAUCUGGCCGAUCCGAAUAAAUUGUCAUCGAUUUGAAAAUCAUGAGACGAUAAAUCAGAAUGUAACACGUUGUUUAAAGUUACAGGACCAAUUAGUUAUUGGAACGUUCUUAUAGUUAUUGGAACUUUCUUAAAUGAAAGGUGAAAGCUUUGAUUAUAAGUUCGAAAGAACAUUAUCCAACAAAGAAAUAAAUUUGAUUAGAGGGUGAAAUACAAAUGACUAAUAGUUUCACUCAUUUUCGGGAGUCAUACCCAUAUCCGACAACUCCAAAUUGUAGUAUCGUCGAAAUUAAUGAUCAGAGGAUUGAGCUGGCAAUUUGCCAACUCGAUCGUAGAUGGUGAAAUGGGAAAUGGUGACGGAUAGACUCUCGAACAACAACGAUCGAUAUGCUAACUAGGGCUAAUAAUGGAAAAUAUGAACACAACGUUGCAUAACUAAAUCUAAAUUUGAUACCUCUAAAUCACCAACACCCAACGUCACCCAACCGAGUUGGACGAUACUAUUCCCUCGCAGACAUUAUCAACACUUGUGGGUUAGAUCAGUAAUUAAACACUUUGACAAAGGCAUUAAUAAAAAAUUCCAACUCAAUUCUCAGUCAAAAAUCCUAAUCCGAUUCGGAUUGGGAGGAAAAGUACAGAGAAAUGAAGAAUACAGCCAACCGUCAGCCAUCACCAACCCAACCAGAAAAAGUCAUCAAAUUUCCACAACUAGAUCUCACCCAAGUUUCAAAGUCUCCUCCUUUACCCAAAAAAUCCAACAUUUUCCAAACCCAUAAACCACCAACCUUCAUCAUCAUCAUCAACCCAGAAACCAAAACUCCAAACUAUGAACAACAACACGGUGGAGCAAAUAUCAUACGACUUCGUCCUCGCCCUUCUCUCAAUAAUCCUAAUCCUCCUCAUCAUCUCCCUCUUCCUCUCCUGCCGAAACCGAUUAACCCAUCUCGAAAACCAAUCCGAAACCCGACUCGAAAACCCCCCACCCCAUCCUCCUCCUCCUUCCGCCAGAGUAUACAAUUUCACCGACAUCAAUACAGCCACCGACGGGUUCAACCCACAACGGAUAAUCGGCAGAGGAAACACAAGCACAAUAUACGCCGCCGUUUUGUCGCGAAACGACGACGUCGUGGUGGCGGUGAAAAGAAUACACCCGACACUCGUUCUACGAAAUGCCUCGCUGGGAUUUUCAGCAACAAUCAAGAGUACUCUGUUUUCUUCUUCCUCUGCCCACCCGAACGUCGUCGGUAUGUUGGGUUACUGCCAGGCUCCAGGGGAGAGGGUCGUGGUGAUGGAAUUCAUCGGGAUGGUGAAUUUGGAUUGCCUGUUGCAUGAUUCUAAAGAAGGGAAAUUGUUGCUGGAUUGGAAUAGACGAUUGAGGAUCGCGGCAGGGGUUGCGAGGGGAAUCGAGUACUUGCAUGAGAAGAUGGGUUCUUCGGGGAUCGUCCAUGGAUGUGUGAAGUCGUCCAAGGUUUUGCUCGACGGCGAAUUGAAUCCCAAGGUAGAAUCGAUUUUGGUAACGAACUCUACUCAAUUCACUUUGAUCGCCUUUCAAUUUCUUCACUGGUUCAUUUGGGGAAAUGCAGAGGCUUAAUAUCUAUGGUGGUCAUCAACCUAUUGGGUUUGGAAAAAUAAUAAUCAUGCAACUUUUAAUGUGAAACAUACAUAUCACUGAUACAUUUUAAUAUAACAAUAUGAUCAUUCCAUCAACCAUUCAUUCAAAAACUUUGUUUCUUUGUUUCGUACUUACGUGACGGUAUAAUUGAUAUAUUAUCAAAUGACCCAUUUUCCUCAUUAUCAAUUGAGCAUUUUGUUCUUUUUUUAUUGUUAAUUUUUCGGUAGAAAAUACUGAACCAACAAUUUGUUAAUUCUUUUGAAAUGAUGAAAUUAAAUAUUUUUUUUGAAAUAUAAUAAAUAGAGAGAGCACAAUUAUUAGGCUGGUCAUAAUUUGAUGUGAGCAGAAUUAUAUUUUUUCUAAAAUAUCUAUUUAGGCCCCUGUAGUUAUCGACUUUACAAAUAUAAAGAGACAAACUUUACAAUUUUACAAUUCGACCUCAUGAACCCUCAA
This 27485-nucleotide long non-coding RNA is filed under the name Linum usitatissimum (flax). Its description in RNAcentral is "long non-coding RNA (LUSI_LNC008212)". Lineage: Eukaryota; Viridiplantae; Streptophyta; Magnoliopsida; Malpighiales; Linaceae. The record is from RNAcentral.